This 468-nucleotide ribosomal RNA is filed under the name uncultured bacterium. RNAcentral describes it as "partial 16S ribosomal RNA". It matches the Rfam family "Bacterial small subunit ribosomal RNA", at positions 28 to 507 of the family's 1533-position model. The record is from RNAcentral.
GACGAACGCUGGCGGCGUGCUUAACACAUGCAAGUCGAACGGAAAGGCCCUGCUUUUGUGGGGUGCUCGAGUGGCGAACGGGUGAGUAACACGUGAGUAACCUGCCCUUGACUUUGGGAUAACUUCAGGAAACUGGGGCUAAUACCGGAUAGGAGCUCCUGCUGCAUGGUGGGGGUUGGAAAGUUUCGGCGGUUGGGGAUGGACUCGCGGCUUAUCAGCUUGUUGGUGGGGUAGUGGCUUACCAAGGCUUUGACGGGUAGCCGGCCUGAGAGGGUGACCGGCCACAUUGGGACUGAGAUACGGCCCAGACUCCGACGGGAGGCAGAAGUGGGGAAUAUUGAACAAUGGGCGGAAGCCUGAUGCAGCAACGCCGCGUGCGGGAUGACGGCCUUCGGGUUGUAAACCGCUUUCGCCUGUGACGAAGCGUGAGUGACGGUAAUGGGUAAAGAAGCACCGGCUAACUACGUG